UACGUAGGGACCAAGCGUUGUUCGGAUUUACUGGGCGUAAAGGGCGCGUAGGCGGCAAUUCAAGUCAGCUGUGAAAUCUCCGGGCUUAACUCGGAACGGUCAGCUGAUACUGCUUCGCUAGAGUGCAGAAGGGGCAAUCGGAAUUCUUGGUGUAGCGGUGAAAUGCGUAGAUAUCAAGAGGAACACCUGAGGUGAAGACGGGUUGCUGGGCUGACACUGACGCUGAGGCGCGAAAGCUAGGGGAGCAAACGGG
RNAcentral lists this ribosomal RNA (253 nucleotides) under uncultured bacterium. Its description in RNAcentral is "partial 16S ribosomal RNA". It matches the Rfam family "Bacterial small subunit ribosomal RNA", at positions 524 to 776 of the family's 1533-position model. The record is from RNAcentral.